RNAcentral lists this ribosomal RNA (357 nucleotides) under uncultured bacterium. RNAcentral's name for it is "bacterial SSU rRNA". It matches the Rfam family "Bacterial small subunit ribosomal RNA", at positions 43 to 386 of the family's 1533-position model. The record is from RNAcentral.
GAAUUCACUAGUGAUUCAGGCCUAACACAUGCAAGUCGAGCGGUAGAGAGAAGCUUGCUUCUCUUGAGAGCGGCGGACGGGUGAGUAAUGCCUAGGAAUCUGCCUGGUAGUGGGGGAUAACGUUCGGAAACGGACGCUAAUACCGCAUACGUCCUACGGGAGAAAGCAGGGGACCUUCGGGCCUUGCGCUAUCAGAUGAGCCUAGGUCGGAUUAGCUAGUUGGUGAGGUAAUGGCUCACCAAGGCGACGAUCCGUAACUGGUCUGAGAGGAUGAUCAGUCACACUGGAACUGAGACACGGUCCAGACUCCUACGGGAGGCAGCAGUGGGGAAUAUUGGACAAUGGGCGAAAGCCUGA